This 69-nucleotide transfer RNA is filed under the name Hippocampus histrix (thorny seahorse). RNAcentral's name for it is "tRNA-Arg". It matches the Rfam family "tRNA". Rfam says of the family: Transfer RNA (tRNA) molecules are approximately 80 nucleotides in length. Their secondary structure includes four short double-helical elements and three loops (D, anti-codon, and T loops). Lineage: Eukaryota; Metazoa; Chordata; Actinopteri; Syngnathiformes; Syngnathidae. The record is from RNAcentral.
AAACGAUUAGUAUAAUUAAAACACUUGAUUUCGACUCAAAAGCACGUGGUUAAAGUCCACGAUCGUUUU